Oncorhynchus keta (chum salmon) is the source of this 359-nucleotide long non-coding RNA. RefSeq lists it as uncharacterized. The record is from RefSeq and is a predicted model, not a curated record. The transcript has 3 exons. Lineage: Eukaryota; Metazoa; Chordata; Actinopteri; Salmoniformes; Salmonidae.
CAGCAAGAAGGUGGAGACAACAGCAAGAAGGUAGAGACAACAGCAAGAAGGGCAAGAAGGUGGAGACAACAGCAAGAAGGUAGAGACAACAGCAAGAAGGUAGAGACAACAGCAAGAAGGUAGAGACAACAGCAAGAAGGGCAAGAAGGUAGAGACAACAGCAAGAAGGUAGAGACAACAGCAAGAAGGUAGAGACAACAACAAGAAGGUAGAGACAACAGCAAGAAGGUAGAGACAACAGCAAGAAGGUAGAGACAACAGCAAGAAGGUAGAGACAACAGCAAGAAGGUAGAGACAACAGCAAGAAGGUGGAGACAACAGCAAGAAGGUAGAGACAACAGCAAGAAGGUAGAGACAAC